UAUCAAACAAAAAGAACAUAACAAAACUAGAAAAGCUUAAGCAUAAAUACAAUAAAAUUAAAAGAAUUUUAUAUUUCUAUCCAUACUAAUGUAUAAUGCUAUCUAGUUGAUGCAAAAAAUCAUAUAUAUAUAUAUAUGAAAGGAGGCCAACCCUCUCCAUCCUUCCGCCACGUCAGCAUUUUAGGCUAUUCUGGAGCUGACACAUCAGCUUUCUAUCUUCCAAUCAAAUCAUUUCAUUAAUUUGAUUCAGCUUUUAUUUUUUACACAUCAUCUUUUAAUUAGAAUUGUCAAAUGAGGAAAACACAAUAGCACAUGAGAGAUGGGCCAUAUGGAUUUGAAAAUCUAUUUCACAAGUUAAUAAUAUAUUGAUUUCUACUAAUACUAACUUAUUUUGUUAUUUUAUAUUUUUUCAAUGAAAUUAUUUUUAUUGGUUUAAUAUACUCCAAAGUUUUUUUCGAAAAUUUUUGUAAUCUUAACUCAAAAUAUGAGUGGAUAAUUGUAUAGUGGAUUAGCUAAUGGUUUGAAUAAGUUUUUCUCUUAAUUUUUUUUAUCUAUAUAUGACACUGAGGGGGGGGAGUACGUAAGGUCAUCAAAUUUUUGAGGUUCUACAAUCCAAACAUUACCAUUUAUAAAAUUGGUUUAGGACAAAGGUUGGUUACGGAUUGUGUGAGUGAUGCAUUGUUGAGUAUGUUGGUUGAAAAUGUAUUUUAAUACUAAGAGUAGUUGUUCAUUGCAUGAGUAAAUGAUUA
RNAcentral lists this long non-coding RNA (749 nucleotides) under Arabidopsis lyrata. Its description in RNAcentral is "long non-coding RNA (ALYR_LNC002556)". The record is from RNAcentral. Lineage: Eukaryota; Viridiplantae; Streptophyta; Magnoliopsida; Brassicales; Brassicaceae.